This 347-nucleotide ribosomal RNA is filed under the name uncultured bacterium. RNAcentral describes it as "bacterial SSU rRNA". It matches the Rfam family "Bacterial small subunit ribosomal RNA", at positions 373 to 710 of the family's 1533-position model. The record is from RNAcentral.
GGGGGCAACCCUGNNCCGAGCAACGCCGCGUGAGUGAAGAAGGUUUUCGGAUCGUAAAGCUCUGUUGUAAGUCAAGAACGAGUGUGAGAGUGGAAAGUUCACACUGUGACGGUAGCUUACCAGAAAGGGACGGCUAACUACGUGCCAGCAGCCGCGGUAAUACGUAGNNMCCNAGCGUUGUCCGGAUUUAUUGGGCGUAAAGCGAGCGCAGGCGGCCUUUUAAGUCAGCGGUGAAAGUCUGUGGCUCAACCAUAGAAUUGCCGUUGAAACUGGGGGGCUUGAGUAUGUUUGAGGCAGGCGGAAUGCGUGGUGUAGCGGUGAAAUGCUUAGAUAUCACGCAGAACCCC